AUGAACGCUGGCGGCGUGCCUCAUACAUGCAAGUCGCGCGAACAGACGAGGAGCUUGCUCCUCUGACGUUAGCGGCGGACGGGUGAGUAACACGUGGAUAACCUACCUAUAAGACUGGGAUAACUUCGGGAAACCGGAGCUAAUACCGGAUAACAUGUUGAACCGCAUGGUUUAACAGUGAAAGACGGUCUUGCUGUCACUUAUAGAUGGAUCCGCGCCGCAUUAGCUAGUUGGUAAGGUAACGGCUUACCAAGGCAACGAUGCGUAGCCGACCUGAGAGGGUGAUCGGCCACACUGGAACUGAGACACGGUCCAGACUCCUACGGGAGGCAGCAGUAGGGAAUCUUCCGCAAUGGGCGAAAGCCUGACGGAGCAACGCCGCGUGAGUGAAGAAGGUCUUCGGAUCGUAAAACUCUGUUAUUAGGGAAGAACAAAUGUGUAAGUAACUAUGCACGUCUUGACGGUACCUAAUCAGAAAGCCACGGCUAACUACGUG
This 496-nucleotide ribosomal RNA is filed under the name uncultured bacterium. RNAcentral's name for it is "partial 16S ribosomal RNA". It matches the Rfam family "Bacterial small subunit ribosomal RNA", at positions 29 to 507 of the family's 1533-position model. The record is from RNAcentral.